GUUUGAUCCUGGCGUCAGGAUGAACGCUGGCGGCGUGCUUAACACAUGCAAGUCGAGCGAAGCGCCGGACCUGAUUCUUCGGAUGAAGGGAAGGAUGACUGAGCGGCGGACGGGUGAGUAACGCGUGGGGAACCUGCCCCGUACCGGGGGAUAACAGUUAGAAAUGACUGCUAAUACCGCAUAAGCGCACAGAGAGGCCUCUCUCAGUGUGAAAAACUCCGGUGGUACGGGAUGGCCCCGCGUCGGAUUAGCCAGUUGGCGGGGUAACGGCCCACCAAAGCGACGAUCCGUAGCCGGCCUGAGAGGGCGACCGGCCACAUUGGGACUGAGACACGGCCCAAACUCCUACGGGAGGCAGCAGUGGGGAAUAUUGCACAAUGGGGGAAACCCUGAUUGCAGCGACGCCGCGUGAGUGAAGAAGUAUUUCGGUAUGUAAAGCUCUAUCAGCAGGGAAGAAGACGACGGUACCUGACUAAGAAGCCCCGGCUAACUACGUGCCAGCAGCCGC
RNAcentral lists this ribosomal RNA (508 nucleotides) under uncultured bacterium. RNAcentral describes it as "bacterial SSU rRNA". It matches the Rfam family "Bacterial small subunit ribosomal RNA", at positions 11 to 518 of the family's 1533-position model. The record is from RNAcentral.